Molecule: ribosomal RNA, 539 nt
Filed under: uncultured Planctomycetota bacterium
Lineage: Bacteria; Pseudomonadati; Planctomycetota
Description: bacterial SSU rRNA
Rfam family: Bacterial small subunit ribosomal RNA
Source: RNAcentral
GAGUUUGAUCCUGGCUCAGAACGAACGUUGGCGGCGUGGAUUAGGCAUGCAAGUCGAACGAGAAAGGUUCCUUCGGGGACCGAGUAAAGUGGCGAACUGGUGAGUAAUGCAUGGAUAACCUACCUUCGAGAGGGGGAUAGCUUCUCGAAAGGGGAGAUAAUACCCCAUGAUGUGGUUGCUUUUUGAGUGAUCACCAAAGAUAGCCUCUGAUGCAAGCUUUCGCUCGGAGAGGGGUUCAUGUCCUAUUAGUUAGUUGGUGAGGUAAAGGCUCACCAAGGCAACGAUGGGUAGCCGACCUGAGAGGGUGACCGGCCACACUGGGACUGAGACACUGCCCAGACUCCUACGGGAGGCUGCAGUCGAGAAUCUUCCGCAAUGCGCGCAAGCGUGACGGAGCGACGCCGCGUGGGUGAUGAAGGCUUUCGGGUUGUAAAGCCCUGUCACCUGCUAUGAAAGGCGGGCGGUGAAUAGCUGUCCCGUCUGACCUCAGCAGGGGAGGAAGCACCGGCUAAAUACGUGCCAGCAGCCGCGGUAAUACG